Molecule: ribosomal RNA, 371 nt
Filed under: uncultured organism
Description: partial 16S ribosomal RNA
Rfam family: Bacterial small subunit ribosomal RNA
Source: RNAcentral
GUAGGUGGCGAGCGUUGUCCGGAAUUAUUGGGCGUAAAGCGCGCGCAGGCGGUUCUUUAAGUCUGAUGUGAAAGCCCACGGCUCAACCGUGGAGGGUCAUUGGAAACUGGAGAACUUGAGUACAGAAGAGGAAAGCGGAAUUCCACGUGUAGCGGUGAAAUGCGUAGAGAUGUGGAGGGACACCAGUGGCGAAGGCGGCUUUCUGGUCUGUAACUGACGCUGAGGCGCGAAAGCGUGGGGAGCAAACAGGAUUAGAUACCCUGGUAGUCCACGCCGUAAACGAUGAGUGCUAAGUGUUAGGGGGGUCUCCGCCCCUUAGUGCUGCAGCUAACGCAUUAAGCACUCCGCCUGGGAGUACGGCCGCAAGGCUG